Molecule: long non-coding RNA, 428 nt
Organism: Chiroxiphia lanceolata (lance-tailed manakin)
Lineage: Eukaryota; Metazoa; Chordata; Aves; Passeriformes; Pipridae
Exons: 3
Source: RefSeq, a predicted model, not a curated record
ACCAUCCUCAAACUGCUGUUGAUCAAACAUGCCUUGGCUAAGUCUAAAUGGGGGUUUUGUGGAUAGAAUAAGACACAGUAGAAGCAGGUCAAGCAUUUCCCUGGGUUAAAACACAACCAUCGAGGAAGCUGAUGGGAGGUGCUGAUUCCAAAAGCCAGGGAAGAAGGACCAUUCACAGAAACAGCAUCACACAACCAGCAAGGAGAGCUGCUUGUGCAUUGCACGUUUACAUGUGUUGAGCGUCUCUAAAAGCAGCCCCCCAGCCAUGCUCUGGCCAUAUCAGCUGGACUGUUUAUCACAAAUUCACAGAGUAGUGUCAUAUCUACAAUAAGCCAAAAUAGUCAGCCCCCAUUUCAGCUUAAAGUGGCUUUUUAGAUGCCAAGGCCUAUCUGUAGACCAGAUGUCCAAAUGGAAACCAACCAACCAAA